RNAcentral lists this long non-coding RNA (781 nucleotides) under Olea europaea subsp. europaea. Lineage: Eukaryota; Viridiplantae; Streptophyta; Magnoliopsida; Lamiales; Oleaceae. The record is from RNAcentral.
UUUUUUUUUUGUUUUUUGCUUGAGCGAAUGUACUUGGAGAUUUGAGGUUUGCGAGAGAGCUACAUUGUAAUUUAAAAAAUGAUAACGGGUUUUCUUUUUCAGUAUGUGGUUUUUCUUGACUUUUUAUAUUUUUUUUGGCUUCUUAAUAUUUACUAAAUAAGGAUUAUAUGAGAAAAUAAUAAUAAAAUUAGUCUCCAUUUUCGACAUAAUUGUCAACAUGUUCUUGCAUUUCCUAGACAUGCAUUGGCAAGCCCAAGACAUAGAUUGGCACCUUUAGUUUAGUCGAUUGUAUACCUCUAAUCAUUCUCUACAAACUCCUUUCACAUUUGGGAAUCGACUAUUCCCACUUUUCGACGAAUCAUUCCACUCUUGGACAGGCUCCUUCGCUCGUUCCUCCCACCUGGGAGUCACGAGCUUACUAUCCCUCAUUAGGCAAAAUAGAUAGGUCAAGGACAGGAUAAGGGUUUUUUUUCAUGGAUGAUAAACAUAACACACAAAAUUAGAAAUUCAUAACACACGAAAGUUAAGAAAAAAAUGCAAAAAUUUCUUAUUAGAGAACCAAAUUAGAACCAUGGUUAUCUUGAUGAAAAUAAUGAAAUUUCAAUUUAUUCACUGUGAGUCACAAAUAUUUACCUAAAGAUGUCCUCCCCAAAUGAGGUGUGAAGAAACGAUUCAGUUUGAAUAGCAAUGAGUGUAAAUUUCCUAAUAUGAAAGAAUAGGAAAUUGGAGAAGAAUAAUGUAUAUUGGGGGUCCGUUUGGUGCACAUUUUUUUAGAUGAAAA